AAUAUCAAAGGUGAGCCAGUACAGGAUGGACCCGCGUCUGAUUAGCUAGUUGGUAAGGUAACGGCUUACCAAGGCGACGAUCAGUAGCCGACCUGAGAGGGUGAUCGGCCACAUUGGAACUGAGACACGGUCCAAACUCCUACGGGAGGCAGCAGUGGGGAAUAUUGCACAAUGGGCGAAAGCCUGAUGCAGCAACGCCGCGUGAGUGAUGAAGGCCUUCGGGUCGUAAAACUCUGUCCU
RNAcentral lists this ribosomal RNA (240 nucleotides) under Clostridioides difficile. RNAcentral describes it as "partial 16S ribosomal RNA". It matches the Rfam family "Bacterial small subunit ribosomal RNA", at positions 197 to 439 of the family's 1533-position model. The record is from RNAcentral. Lineage: Bacteria; Bacillati; Bacillota; Clostridia; Peptostreptococcales; Peptostreptococcaceae.